Molecule: ribosomal RNA, 243 nt
Filed under: uncultured bacterium
Lineage: Bacteria
Description: partial 16S ribosomal RNA
Rfam family: Bacterial small subunit ribosomal RNA
Source: RNAcentral
AGGGGGAGGCAGACCNCAAAAAAGGACGUCCCAGUUCGGAUUACAGCCUGCAACCCGGCUGUAUGAAGCUGGAAUCGCUAGUAAUCGCAGAUCAGAAUGCUGCGGUGAAUACGUUCCCGGGUCUUGUACACACCGCCCGUCACACCAUGGGAGCCAGGAAUGCCCGAAGCCAGUGGCCUAACCGCAAGGGAGGAGCUGUCGAAGGCAGGCCCGGUAACUGGGGUGAAGUCGUAACAAGGUAUC